AGCUCCAAUAGCGUAUAUUAAAGUUGUUGCGGUAAAAAGCUCGUAGUUGAAUUUCUGUUGAGAAGGAACGGUCCAUACCACGUAUGCGUAUCUGUCUUCUUCUCGGCAUCUUCUCGGACGUCGUUGCUGCGCUUAGUUGCGUGGCGCGAACCUCGGGACUUUUACUUUGAGGAAAUUAGAGUGUUCACGGCAGGCUAUCGCCAGAAUACAUUAGCAUGGAAUAAUACUAUAGGAUCUAGGUUCUAUUUUGUUGGUUUCUAGAAUUUAGAUAAUGGUUAAUAGGGACAAUUGGGGGCAUUAGUAUCAACACGUCAGAGGUGGAAUUCUUGGAUUGUGUUGCGACUAACUACUGCGAAAGCAUCUGUCAAGGAUGUUUUCA
RNAcentral lists this ribosomal RNA (379 nucleotides) under uncultured eukaryote. Its description in RNAcentral is "SSU rRNA". It matches the Rfam family "Eukaryotic small subunit ribosomal RNA", at positions 587 to 972 of the family's 1831-position model. The record is from RNAcentral.